Molecule: ribosomal RNA, 230 nt
Filed under: Acinetobacter pittii
Lineage: Bacteria; Pseudomonadati; Pseudomonadota; Gammaproteobacteria; Moraxellales; Moraxellaceae
Description: partial 23S ribosomal RNA
Rfam family: Bacterial large subunit ribosomal RNA
Source: RNAcentral
GAAAAGUGCGGGGAUGAGGUGUGGGUAGCGGAGAAAUUCCAAUCGAACUCGGAGAUAGCUGGUUCUCCCCGAAAUAGCUUUAGGGCUAGCCUCGGAUGCCUGUACUGGAGGUAGAGCACUGAUUGGAUGCGGGCCCCUCGCGGGGUACCAAAUUCAGUCAAACUCCGAAUGCCAGAUACAGACGGUCCGGGAGUCAGACUGCGAGUGCUAAGAUCCGUAGUCAAAAGGGA